GAUUGGUGCUUGCAUCAUGAUUUACAUUUGAGUGAGUGGCGAACUGGUGAGUAACACGUGGGAAACCUGCCCAGAAGCGGGGGAUAACACCUGGAAACAGAUGCUAAUACCGCAUAACAACUUGGACCGCAUGGUCCGAGUUUGAAAGAUGGCUUCGGCUAUCACUUUUGGAUGGUCCCGCGGCGUAUUAGCCUAAGAUGGGUGGGGUAAACGGCCUCACCCAAUGGCAAUGAUACGUAGCCGACCUGAGAAGGGUAAUCGGCCACCAUUGGGACUGAGACACGGCCCAAACUCCUACGGGAGGCAGCAGUAAGGGAAUCUUCCACCAAUGGAACGAAAGUCUGAUGGAGCAACGCCGCGUGAGUGAAGAAGGGUUUCGGCUCGUAAAACUCUGUUGUUAAAGAAGAACAUAUCUGAGAGUAACUGUUCAGGUAUUGACGGUAUUUAACCAGAAAGCCACGGCUAACUACGUGCCAGCAGCCGCGGUAAUACGUAGGUGGCAAGCGUUGUCCGGAUUUAUUGGGCGUAAAGCGAGCGCAGGCGGUUUUUUAAGUCUGAUGUGAAAGCCUUCGGCUCAACCGAAGAAGUGCAUCGGAAACUGGGAAACUUGAGUGCAGAAGAGGACAGUGGAACUCCAUGUGUAGCGGUGAAAUGCGUAGAUAUAUGGAAGAACACCAGUGGCGAAGGCGGCUGUCUGGUCUGUAACUGACGCUGAGGCUCGAAAGUAUGGGUAGCAAACAGGAUUAGAUACCCUGGUAGUCCAUACCGUAAACGAUGAAUGCUAAGUGUUGGAGGGUUUCCGCCCUUCAGUGCUGCAGCUAACGCAUUAAGCAUUCCGCCUGGGGAGUACGGCCGCAAGGCUGAAACUCAAAGGAAUUGACGGGGGCCCGCACAAGCGGUGGAGCAUGUGGUUUAAUUCGAAGCUACGCGAAGAACCUUACCAGGUCUUGACAUACUAUGCAAAUCUAAGAGAUUAGACGUUCCCUUCGGGGACAUGSAUACAGGUGGUGCAUGSUUGUCGUCAGCUCGUGUCGUGAGAUGUUGGGUUAAGUCCCGCAACGAGCGCAACCCUUAUUAUCAGYUGCCAGCAUUAAGUUGGGCACUCUGGUGAGACUGCCGGUGACAAACCGGAGGAAGGUGGGGAUGGACGUCAAAUCAUCAUGCCCSUUAUGACCUGGGCUACACAACGGUGCUUACAAUGGGAGUGGUACAAACGAGAUUUGGCGAACUCGCGAGAGUAAGCUAAUCUCUUAAAGCCAUUCUCAGUUCGGAUUGUAGGCUGCAACUCGCCUACAUGAAGUCGGAAUCGCUAGUAAUCGCGGAUCAGCAUGCCGCGGUGAAUACGUUCCCGGGCCUUGUACACACCGCCCGUCACACCAUGAGAGUUUGUAACACCCAAAGUCGGUGGGGUAACCUUU
Molecule: ribosomal RNA, 1418 nt
Filed under: Lactiplantibacillus plantarum
Lineage: Bacteria; Bacillati; Bacillota; Bacilli; Lactobacillales; Lactobacillaceae
Description: bacterial SSU rRNA
Rfam family: Bacterial small subunit ribosomal RNA
Source: RNAcentral